AUCGACAUACCCCCUGAGUGUGCCUGAUCUUGUCUGAUCUCAGAACCAAGUUGGGGCCUGAUGAGCACUUGAGUGGAGACCUGGAUUACUGGGUGCUGUAGAUU
This 104-nucleotide ribosomal RNA is filed under the name Echinops telfairi (small Madagascar hedgehog). Lineage: Eukaryota; Metazoa; Chordata; Mammalia; Afrosoricida; Tenrecidae. The record is from RNAcentral.